This 200-nucleotide unclassified non-coding RNA is filed under the name Preussia sp. (in: ascomycete fungi). RNAcentral's name for it is "Preussia sp. (in: Fungi) partial internal transcribed spacer 2". The record is from RNAcentral. Lineage: Eukaryota; Fungi; Ascomycota; Dothideomycetes; Pleosporales; Sporormiaceae.
UUAAGUUCAGCGGGUAUCCCUACCUGAUCCGAGGUCAAAUUCAUGGGGGUAGCUUCUGGGAGCCGAUCCGUCGGGCCCGAGUUCGCGUUUCUGCUGCGCUCGAAGCCAACGUGCCGGCCGCCAAUAGACUUGAGGCGAGUCCGCGCACGCGGCGGGACAAAACGCCCAACACCAAGCAAGGCUUGAGGGUUGAAAUGACG